Molecule: ribosomal RNA, 305 nt
Filed under: uncultured bacterium
Lineage: Bacteria
Description: bacterial SSU rRNA
Rfam family: Bacterial small subunit ribosomal RNA
Source: RNAcentral
UAUCCUACGGGGCGCAGCAGUGGGGGAUAUUGCACAAUGGGGGCAACCCUGAUGCAGCGACGCCGCGUGAGCGAUGGAGUACUUCGGUAUGUAAAGCUCUGUCAGCAGGGAAGAGAAUGACGGUACCUGACCAAGAAGCCCCGGCUAAAUACGUGCCAGCAGCCGCGGUAAUACGUAUGGGGCAAGCGUUAUCCGGAUUUACUGGGUGUAAAGGGAGCGUAGGCGGCAGGGCAAGCCUGAUGUGAAAGCCUUCGGCUUAACCGGAGUAGUGCAUUGGAAACUGGGAGACUUGAGUGCAGAAGAGG